This 226-nucleotide ribosomal RNA is filed under the name Solenopsis bicolor. RNAcentral describes it as "partial large subunit ribosomal RNA". The record is from RNAcentral. Lineage: Eukaryota; Metazoa; Arthropoda; Insecta; Hymenoptera; Formicidae.
GAAUUUAAUAUAGUUUUAUUAGAUUGAUUUAUAUUUAUUAUAUUUAUUUAGGAAUAGUAAAAAUAUAUUUAGUUGGGAGGAUUAUUAAAUUUAAUAAACUUUAAUUUUAUUUACAAGAAUAUAAAUUAGUAAAAUAAUGGGUGGUUUAUAAAUUAAAUAAGAAUUAAUUACCUUAGGGAUAACAGCAUAAUAUUUUUAGAAAGUUCCUAUUAAUAAAAAUGAUUGU